AUUGAACGCUGGCGGCAGGCUUAACACAUGCAAGUCGAGCGGAGUGAUGGUGCUUGCACUAUCACUUAGCGGCGGACGGGUGAGUAAUGCUUAGGAAUCUGCCUAUUAGUGGGGGACAACAUCUCGAAAGGGAUGCUAAUACCGCAUAAGACCUACGGGAGACAGUAGGGGAUCACUUGUGACCUUGCGCUAAUAGAUGAGCCUAAGUCGGAUUAGCUAGUUGGUGGGGUAAAGGCCUACCAAGGCGACGAUCUGUAGCGGGUCUGAGAGGAUGAUCGUCGGCACUGGGACGGGGGUACGGACCAGACUCCUUCGGGAGGCAGCAGUAGGGAAUAUUGGACAAGGGGGGGAACCCUGAUCCAGCCAUGCGGCGUGUGUAAAGAAGGCCCUAUGGUUGUAAAGCACUUUAAGCGAGGAGGAGGCUCUUUUGGUUAAUACCCAAGAUGAGUGGACGUUACUCGCAGAAUAAGCACCGGCUAACUCUGUGCCAGCCGCCGCGGUAA
RNAcentral lists this ribosomal RNA (503 nucleotides) under uncultured bacterium. Its description in RNAcentral is "partial 16S ribosomal RNA". It matches the Rfam family "Bacterial small subunit ribosomal RNA", at positions 30 to 523 of the family's 1533-position model. The record is from RNAcentral.